UAUUGCUUUCUGUUGCCCUUUCUCUUCUUAAAGCAGGUCCAAAUAAUAUAGACAGGGAUGACCAACUGUUUUCUACCUCAGAUUAAAUUACUACAGUAAAAGCAUAGUAGUAGACUUAGUACUCUAUUGUGCCUGAAAAUUGUUGACUUGAUUUCAAAAUAUAGUGCUCCCUUUUGACAGGUUGGGCACUUAUGGUUUGGCUGAAUAUCAAAUAGAGGGGGAUGGAAACUGUCAGGUUUGUUUUUCAAGCACUGGUGUGCAUUUCAUUCCAUGCAUUGAAUAUAUUAUGUACUCUGGUUUGGUCAGACUCAGAUUUCUUGCCUACUGCAGCCAAUAGCGUUGCUGCUUUGGACCUAAGGUUCAGAUCAAGGGACAAGCAAGGAGGAAGCACAACUACAGCUGGACAUCAUUGCCAAGUUUUGAGAAGGAAAGGCAGGACUUAUAAGUGCCUACCGACCCCAUCAGUGGAAGUGUAUUGUCCAGCAUUCGAGAAGAGCUUGCCGCCAAGAAUUUGACAGGAAGGGAAAGUUUCAAUUAAUGUGCUAAUCCAGUUUUCUCAUACAAAACAGUUGCACUGAGUAUUGAACCUGCAACUAUGUAUACGUGCAUGUGAACAUGUAGUUUUAUCUGCUUGUGAACCUGUAUUGUUCUGAACUGGUUAACCAACUAUAUAUGUAGCAGCUGACCAUAUUUUUUUUAUUUUAUAAAUUCACAUUGGUGACGGGCAAAAUUGUAGCGCGUCACCAAUAAGAAAGUCAUUAGUGA
Long non-coding RNA from Panicum virgatum (switchgrass), 765 nucleotides. RefSeq lists it as uncharacterized. The transcript has 3 exons. NCBI's taxonomy places the organism in Eukaryota, Viridiplantae, Streptophyta, Magnoliopsida, Poales, Poaceae. The record is from RefSeq and is a predicted model, not a curated record.